RNAcentral lists this unclassified non-coding RNA (409 nucleotides) under Basidiomycota sp. Its description in RNAcentral is "partial contains small subunit ribosomal RNA, internal transcribed spacer 1, and 5.8S ribosomal RNA". The stretch from base 1 to 47 matches the Rfam family "Eukaryotic small subunit ribosomal RNA", at positions 1785 to 1831 of the family's 1831-position model. The record is from RNAcentral. Lineage: Eukaryota; Fungi; Basidiomycota.
AAAGUCGUAACAAGGUUUCCGUAGGUGAACCUGCGGAAGGAUCAUUAGCGUAUAAGUAAGUGCGCGUGACUGCACGCACCGGUUUGGCUGGCGCGCGCAAGCGCCAGUCGAAUUGGGGGGGUGUAGUUGCGCGCGCAAUACACAACACCCUGUGAACGAGGCCGAGUUUUGAGCUGGCGGCGAUGGUGGUGGUGGUGGUGGUGAUGGUGUGUGGUGGUGGUGGUGGUGGCGGCGAUGGCGAUUACAGUCGUCGUCGUCGUCGCCGUCGCCGUCGCCGUCGUCGUCAUCGUCGCGCCGCCGCCGUUGCGCGCUGGCCUUGACAAACCAUAUACUGAUAAUACUGAUAAUUGAUUAACCAACACAUAUAUAAUCAUACACACAACUUUUAACAAUGGAUCUCUAGGCUCCU